Molecule: ribosomal RNA, 181 nt
Filed under: uncultured bacterium
Lineage: Bacteria
Description: partial 16S ribosomal RNA
Rfam family: Bacterial small subunit ribosomal RNA
Source: RNAcentral
UGAAGCCGGAAUUGCUAGUAAUCGCGGAUCAGAAUGCCGCGGUGAAUACGUUCCCGGGUCUUGUACACACCGCCCGUCACACCAUGGGAGCCGGGAAUGCCCGAAGUCGGUGACCUAACCUUUAAGGGGGGAGCCGCCGAAGGCAGGUCUGGUAACUGGGGUGAAGUCGUAACAAGGUAUC